Molecule: ribosomal RNA, 530 nt
Filed under: Streptomyces capoamus
Lineage: Bacteria; Bacillati; Actinomycetota; Actinomycetes; Kitasatosporales; Streptomycetaceae
Description: bacterial SSU rRNA
Rfam family: Bacterial small subunit ribosomal RNA
Source: RNAcentral
GAACGCUGGCGGCGUGCUUAACACAUGCAAGUCGAACGAUGAACCGCUUCGGUGGGGAUUAGUGGCGAACGGGUGAGUAACACGUGGGCAAUCUGCCCUUCACUCCGGGACAAGCCCUGGAAACGGGGUCUAAUACCGGAUAGCACUCCUGCAGGCAUCUGUGGGGGUUGAAAGCUCCGGCGGUGGAGGAUGGGCCCGCGGCCUAUCAGCUUGUUGGUGAGGUAACGGCUCACCAAGGCGACGACGGGUAGCCGGCCUGAGAGGGCGACCGGCCACACUGGGACUGAGACACGGCCCAGACUCCUACGGGAGGCAGCAGUGGGGAAUAUUGCACAAUGGGCGCAAGCCUGAUGCAGCGACGCCGCGUGAGGGAUGACGGCCUUCGGGUUGUAAACCUCUUUCAGCAGGGAAGAAGCGUGAGUGACGGUACCUGCAGAAGAAGCGCCGGCUAACUACGUGCCAGCAGCCGCGGUAAUACGUAGGGCGCAAGCGUUGUCCGGAAUUAUUGGGCGUAAAGAGCUCGUAGGCGG